GACCCAUUAGCUCAGUUGGUUAGAGUGUCGUGCUAAUAACGCGAAGGUCUUAGGUUCAAGACCUGCAUGCGCCA
Molecule: non-coding RNA, 74 nt
Organism: Sphenostylis stenocarpa
Lineage: Eukaryota; Viridiplantae; Streptophyta; Magnoliopsida; Fabales; Fabaceae
Source: the annotation of a GenBank genome assembly